This 253-nucleotide ribosomal RNA is filed under the name uncultured bacterium. RNAcentral describes it as "partial 16S ribosomal RNA". It matches the Rfam family "Bacterial small subunit ribosomal RNA", at positions 524 to 776 of the family's 1533-position model. The record is from RNAcentral.
UACGGAGGGUGCGAGCGUUGUCCGGAAUCACUGGGCGUAAAGGGCGCGUAGGCGGCCUGAUAAGUAGGGGGUGAAAUCCUGCGGCUUAACCGCAGGGCUGCCUUCUAAACUGUCAGGCUCGAGCACAGUAGAGGCAGGUGGAAUUCCCGGUGUAGCGGUGGAAUGCGUAGAGAUCCGGAGGAACCCCAGAGGCGAAGGCGGCGCCCUGGCUCGCAACUGACGCUCAGACACGACAGCAUGGGGAGCGAACGGG